UACGGGGGGGGCAAGCGUUGUUCGGAAUUACUGGGCGUAAAGGGCUCGUAGGCGGCCAACUAAGUCAGACGUGAAAUCCCUCGGCUUAACCGGGGAACUGCAUCUGAUACUGGCAGGCUUGAAUUCGGGAGAGGGAUGCGGAAUUCCAGGUGUAGCGGUGAAAUGCGUAGAUAUCGGGAGGAACACCAGUGGCGAAGGCGACUACCUGGCCUGUUCUUGACGCUGAGGCGCGAAAGCUAGGGGAGCAAACGGG
RNAcentral lists this ribosomal RNA (253 nucleotides) under uncultured bacterium. RNAcentral's name for it is "partial 16S ribosomal RNA". It matches the Rfam family "Bacterial small subunit ribosomal RNA", at positions 524 to 776 of the family's 1533-position model. The record is from RNAcentral.